RNAcentral lists this ribosomal RNA (230 nucleotides) under uncultured bacterium. RNAcentral's name for it is "partial 16S ribosomal RNA". It matches the Rfam family "Bacterial small subunit ribosomal RNA", at positions 103 to 334 of the family's 1533-position model. The record is from RNAcentral.
CGGGUGAGGAGCGCGUGACUGACCUGCCCUUGAGUGGGGGAUACCGGCCAGAAAUGGCUGUUAAGACCGCAUGAGACCCAUGGGUGCGAGCUUGUGGGGAAAGCCUUCGGGUGCUGGAGGAGGGGGUCGCGUCGGAUUAGCUAGUUGGUGGGGUAACGGCCUACCAAGGCGACGAUCCGUAGCUGGUCUGAGAGGACGGCCAGCCACACUGGGACUGAGACACGGCCCAG